RNAcentral lists this ribosomal RNA (253 nucleotides) under uncultured bacterium. Its description in RNAcentral is "partial 16S ribosomal RNA". It matches the Rfam family "Bacterial small subunit ribosomal RNA", at positions 524 to 776 of the family's 1533-position model. The record is from RNAcentral.
UACGGAGGGGGCUAGCGUUGUUCGGAAUUACUGGGCGUAAAGCGCGCGUAGGCGGCUUUGUAAGUUAGAGGUGAAAGCCCAGGGCUCAACCCUGAAAUUGCCUUUAAGACUGCAUCGCUUGAACAUCGGAGAGGUAAGUGGAAUUCCGAGUGUAGAGGUGAAAUUCGUAGAUAUUCGGAAGAACACCAGUGGCGAAGGCGACUUACUGGACACAUAUUGACGCUGAGGUGCGAAAGCGUGGGGAGCAAACAGG